AAACCAAUUUACAACAAAACUCAACUCUUCGCUUUCCAUUCUCUUUGUUUCUUGGAUAUUUUCACUCUUUCUGGGUAUUCGAUAAAUUUUUAAAAUUUCUCUUUUGGGUAUGUUUUUGUUGAAAUAUUUGAUCAAGAAACUAUAUCGAUCAUUCAUUUUUUGGGUAAUUUAAUGGUUGUUUUUUGCUUUAUAUUUGGGUGGUGCUUGAAUUUAUUGUUUAUACAAGAAAAAUAGAAUGAUCCAGCAAUAUGGAAGUCAAAGUGCUAGCUCGAGCUCGCAUUCGAAUAGCAGUUCGCAGGAUACAGAGGAUGAUCAUACAAUUGCAGAAAUAUUAGCAGAAGAAGAAAGAUUAAAUUAUGAUGGCAGACUUGGCAAGAGGCUUUCUCAUUUGGAUUCGAUCCCGGUAUUUUAAUAUAUUAUCAUCAAUUCCUCAAAUUUCUCCCUUAUUGAAUCCUAAUAAUGAAAUUAUUGUUAAAUAAAUGGAGAUCAUGAACUUGAAUAUGUUGUCCGUAUGCUCCUUAAGUAGUCUUUCUUGAUUAUCAUUCUCUUGUCUUGUGGUUGAUGAUUUUUCUAAUUUGUUUACUUUCUGCAAAACGUUCAAGAAUUUGCAUAUUGCUUAACUAGGAAUAUGGAAUGUACUGCAGUUUAUUAUGUCGAAACUUGCAAGAAUCUGCCUAUUGUUUAACGAGGAUUCUGAAUCAUACUGCAUUUUAUACUGUUAAAAUAACAUAUAAUGAGUGCGCCGAAUGAGGAAAACUCAAUACUGCUAAGCAAUUUGUGUUGGGCGAUUUUGGCUAUACAUAAGCUUACAAAUUCACGGAAUUUUUCAGCAUACGCCUUGGGUAAUUGGUGAUACACCUGAUCCAAAUGAUGCACCCUUAUACCAUGGGAGGCUUGCUGAGAGGUUAUAAUUUUUUUCUUUAAUCUCGUUUUUGUUUUACAUUCUGUAAUUUUUUCUUGUACUUGUUACUCUUUAUUAUUUUAGGAUAUAUUUUAAGGACAUUUAUGGAGAGAGAAAUUGAAAAUAUUCCCAAUGUUUAUAAUUCUUUCAAUUGUCUCUUUUUUUCGAAAAUCCUAAAAUAGUUUUUUCCUUCUCCUCCUCCUCAUUCUUCUUCUCCACUACUUGUACUCCUAUUCUCCCAGUUUUAAAAUAAGAGCAUCUGAUGACUGGCUUACAUUCUUUGUUCUUUUGCUUAUGGAAACAAGAUACUGAAAAAAAGAAAACAAACAAUAAAGUAAGUAGGAGAAAAAGAAAGAAUUGAUACCAGGAAUAAUAGAAUAAAUGGGAAGAAGGUAGGAACAAUUAUUGCAAUUUUUUGUUUACGAAAGAAAAAUUUUCCCAAUUGAUUGUUGUAGGGACUAUACUGAAUUAUUUAGAAAUAAUUAUAGAGAGUUGUUGCAGUAAUUAAGGAUAUAAUGGGAUGCAAAAGGGUGUGGGAUGGAAGAGGAAUUUUUUACAAUGAGAAGUAUGCUUUGAAUUUUACGAACUUGAGUUUGGAGAGUUGAUGGUCAGUUUUGAAGAAUUCCUCUUACUAUUUCUAUCCUGUCAGGAUUUCGAUAAAACUAUAAAAUAUUUUGGCAUAUUACUAAAUAUAGUUAAAUAGAUUCAAGAAGCCUUUAUUAUUUUUUCAGCUUCGGUAGCCAUAUGAGUUUUGAAGUUGUUGCAAUAAUGGUUUAAUGGGUCCUUCUUCACCAUUUUUCUUUGAGAACUUCUUGACUAUAUAUAAAAUGCACGUUUUUUCUUUUAGUCUUUUGCAUGUUUGCUUUGAUGAGUCCUUUUUCAACAUUAUUCUUCUUCGAGAGCAUCUUUUCUAUAUCUGAUAUGAAUAUGUCUUUUCGUUUUAUUUUUUGGCAUGUCUGUUCACUAUUGCCUGUAGAGGAUGGAGGGGUUUUUUUUAAACCUGGUCAUAUGGAUGUGCAGGAUUGUGAUAUUACUGUUUGAUCGUUCGAACGUUCCAUAUUUUUGUUAAUGGAUACUUCUUUCUUGAAAGGCUUUCCUUAACAUAGCUGUCAUUCAGGUUGACAACAUAGGGGUUAGCUGAAUUACAAAUCCAGGGAGAUGGGAAUUGCCAGGUUUGUCUCUCUUGACUAGUCUAAUUAUUGUUAAAUUGUCUAAUUGUACCGAGGAGUUUAUGGAAAUAGUAUCUAGUUAUGCCAAUAUUGUUACCAGUAUUUUUGAUGGAAAGCAGCAAGGAUAAAUUGAAAAUGUUACCAUGCUUCGGGUUGUUUUGUUCAAUUUAUAUCAGUUUACUGUUACUUUUUUGCAUGUUCGGCUAAGCUUGAAAAUAAGUGAAAAGUACUUUUCAUUAACUUAUUGUUUCCAAC
This 2325-nucleotide long non-coding RNA is filed under the name Olea europaea subsp. europaea. The record is from RNAcentral. Lineage: Eukaryota; Viridiplantae; Streptophyta; Magnoliopsida; Lamiales; Oleaceae.